This 305-nucleotide ribosomal RNA is filed under the name uncultured bacterium. RNAcentral describes it as "bacterial SSU rRNA". It matches the Rfam family "Bacterial small subunit ribosomal RNA", at positions 334 to 653 of the family's 1533-position model. The record is from RNAcentral.
UUUUCCUACGGGAGGCAGCAGUGGGGAAUAUUGGGCAAUGGAGGCAACUCUGACCCAGCAACGCCGCGUGAAUGAUGAAGGUCUUCGGAUUGUAAAGUUCUUUUCUAAGGGAAGAAGAAAGUGACGGUACCUUAGGAAUAAGCCUCGGCUAACUACGUGCCAGCAGCCGCGGUAAUACGUAGGAGGCAAGCGUUAUCCGGAAUGACUGGGCGUAAAGGGUGCGUAGGUGGUUUGACAAGUUAGUAGCGCACCUCCGGAGCUUAACUUCGGAACUACUACUAAAACUGUUGGACUUGAGUGCAGGG